Molecule: ribosomal RNA, 492 nt
Filed under: uncultured bacterium
Lineage: Bacteria
Description: partial 16S ribosomal RNA
Rfam family: Bacterial small subunit ribosomal RNA
Source: RNAcentral
AGUGAACGCUGGCGGUAGGCCUAACACAUGCAAGUCGAACGGCAGCACAGUAAGAGCUUGCUCUUACGGGUGGCGAGUGGCGGACGGGUGAGGAAUACAUCGGAAUCUACUUUUUCGUGGGGGAUAACGUAGGGAAACUUACGCUAAUACCGCAUACGACCUACGGGUGAAAGCAGGGGAUCUUCGGACCUUGCGCGAUUGAAUGAGCCGAUGUCGGAUUAGCUAGUUGGCGGGGUAAAGGCCCACCAAGGUGACGAUCCGUAGCUGGUCUGAGAGGAUGAUCAGCCACGCUGGAACUGAGACACGGUCCAGACUCCUACGGGAGGCAGCAGUGGGGAAUAUUGGACAAUGGGCGCAAGCCUGAUCCAGCCAUACCGCGUGGGUGAAGAAGGCCUUCGGGUUGUAAAGCCCUUUUGUUGGGAAAGAAAAGCAGCAGGUUAAUACCCCGCUGUUCUGACGGUACCCAAAGAAUAAGCACCGGCUAACUUCGUG